This is a long non-coding RNA of Drosophila ananassae, 1639 nucleotides long. RefSeq lists it as uncharacterized. The record is from RefSeq and is a predicted model, not a curated record. Lineage: Eukaryota; Metazoa; Arthropoda; Insecta; Diptera; Drosophilidae. The transcript has 2 exons.
AUAACUAUUAUUAAAUAAUUAAACAAACCCGUUUUUACAUUGUUCGUCUAUUUAUUGCUUAUGUGGCUCAUCCCGUGUGGCCUGCUCAAGAAAUCGAUUUUUAUACCUUUGCCGAGGGUAUUAUAAUUUUGGUCAAAAGUGUGCAACGCAGUGAUUUUUAGAAGUAUUUUUUAGAAGGAUACUCGCAACAAUUGUCUAUAUUUGCAAAGAAAGGAUAUAGAAUUAUUGCGAUUGCGUUCAAGGCUCUUGACCCAAAAGUUAACUACACAAAAAUUCAGCGGUUUUCCCGUGAAGAUGUGGAAAAUUAUCUUGAAUUUCUUGGUUUCGUUAUACUGGAGAAUCGUUUAAAGCCAGACACAACUGAAGUAAUUAAUACAUUAAAUGCGGCGAAGAUUCGAACUAUAAUGAUUCGAACUAUAAUGAUUCGAACUAUAAUGAUUCGAACUGGUGACAACAGCUAUCACGACAACAGUGUUGCUCGUGAUUGUGGCAUAGUUAACUCAUCUCAAGCAGUGAUUACUAUCCAUGCAGAUCCGGUUAACAGAUCUGAACACAAUUCUGAUGAUAGUAACCGUCAUAAUAUUAAAAUGAGUAGCGACCAGAAUAGAAAAUACCAGUUACAAUACACAUUAGAUACGGGCAGUAAUAUUUGUGCUUCACAUCAAUUAUCUAAUAAUGGUAAUUUUUUUUAACAAGAAAGCACUGCAAGUAACUGCAGCGCCGAGAGUACGAUGAAUCUUCCCCGAAUAACGUCAAGAAAUUCCUUCGAAAAUAAAUCUUAUAAAAAUUAUAAUGAAAGCGUUGUACGUUUAAGUAAUAGUUCGGCAAGUGUAGAGACCAUAGAUACGUGGACUCACAAUGAUACAACAGAUGUUCACGUAGAACUUGAAACGAACAUUAUGCAAGAAAGUAAAUGGCAGCAACAAUAUACAUUUGCAAUGGAUGGAAACACCUGGCAAAUUGUAAAAGAUCAUUUCCCCGAGCAACUUGGAAUUAUAUUAACACGCGGAUCAAGUUAUGCACGUAGGUCCCCUGAGCAGAAACAAGCUUUAGUUAUGGAACUCCAAAACGUUGACUACUGUGUAGCUAUGUGUGGCGACGGGGCUAAUGAUUGCGGCGCUCUAAAGGCUGCGCAUGCUGGUAUUUCGCUUAGCGAAACUGAAUCCUCUAUUGCAUCCCCAUUUACUUCCCAUAAUUCUACGAUUUCAGCGGUUAUAAAUGUUAUUAAAGAAGGCCGAGCUGCAUUGGUAACAUCUUUUGGUAUUUUUAAGUACAUGGCCGCCUAUUCGCUUGUCCAGUUCAUAUCUGUAAUGAUAUUGUAUUCAAUCGACUCUAACUUGGCAGAUAAACAGUAUCUCUAUGUUGACCUUGGGCUAAUUUCGAUAUUUGCCUUUUUUUUUGGAAAAACGGAAUCUUUUUUGAUGGAAAAUUAGUAAAGCAAGUGCCGCUUAGCUCUUUAAUUUCUACGACACCCCUGGCCUCGCUUUUACUUCACCUUGCUGCCGUCAAGAUUUUUCAGGUGACGGGUUGGUUUCACCUACAACAACAACCAUGGUUCACACCUUUUCAACAAACUGAUGAGGAAAAUUUAGGUUGUUAUGAAAAUAUACAAUGUUUUGCAUAUCUAGUUUUCAGUACA